Molecule: long non-coding RNA, 405 nt
Organism: Lynx canadensis (Canada lynx)
Lineage: Eukaryota; Metazoa; Chordata; Mammalia; Carnivora; Felidae
Exons: 2
Source: RefSeq, a predicted model, not a curated record
CAUACUUCGCCGUGUCCAGCGGCUAUGUCUUCGCGAGGAGUUAGAAGCGUUUGCAGUCGGCCUGGCAUUUGGGUGUCUGCUGCUUUGUUUCUCCAGGAAUAGUGAUCACAUCUGAGACUCACACCCAGCUUUGCGACUCCAGGCAUGUGUGUAAAUGUGGAACUUCGGGGAGAGAAGAAAAUGUUUCCUACUUUGUACGUGAAGAAGAUAGUCUGUUAACAUUUGUACAGAUUUCUCUGAAAAUACUUGUUCUAAUUAUGAAAGCAGAACACGUUUGUUCUAGGAUACCUGAAGUGUGCGGAGGAGUGCGGUAAUCCCGCGUCUCAGUGAGAUCUGCUCAUAUUUCGUAUUGUCUUUUACUCCUCAUACGUGUGAAUAUUUACAAUAAAAAUUGGAAUGAUAAAA